GCCCAGAUAGCUCAGUUGGUUAAAGUGUGGCACUGAUAACACCAAGGUUGCAUUUUCGAUCCCUGUAUGGGACA
Non-coding RNA from Podarcis lilfordi (Lilford's wall lizard), 74 nucleotides. The record is from the annotation of a GenBank genome assembly. Lineage: Eukaryota; Metazoa; Chordata; Lepidosauria; Squamata; Lacertidae.